Molecule: long non-coding RNA, 389 nt
Filed under: Carica papaya (papaya)
Lineage: Eukaryota; Viridiplantae; Streptophyta; Magnoliopsida; Brassicales; Caricaceae
Description: long non-coding RNA (CPAP_LNC001872)
Source: RNAcentral
UUUGGUCAAGAUCCUAGAGGAAUUGUGAAUCAAGUCAUGAUAUACAUCAACAACAAAGCAAACAUGCCAAAAAGGUAUGACGUGUUUCUUACUGUAAUCACUAAUAUUUUCCCUUGUGAUGGAGGCCCAGAUUCGAGAACGAUUCUUUUGAGGUAGGGAGGGGAUGAUGUGAUCCUAGACUGCACAUAAUUAAUUCUAAAGAUGCAAUCUUGCAUCAAUGAGGAAUGCCCAGAAUAGAAAAGUAAUUUUAUCCCUGAACACUUUCCUAAUUGGGAUUAUUCCAAGAGAUGGGCCAAGUUUAUCCAAACCAAAAAGCUUAAGGCCCAAGUAAGAUUAACAAACUUAAAAAAUCAAAUGAAAGUCCAAUCUUUAGGCUCAACUCGAGAAGG